GUUCACUGCCGUACAGGUAGCUUAGAAA
Molecule: non-coding RNA, 28 nt
Organism: Methylomicrobium album BG8
Lineage: Bacteria; Pseudomonadati; Pseudomonadota; Gammaproteobacteria; Methylococcales; Methylococcaceae
Source: Rfam